This 435-nucleotide ribosomal RNA is filed under the name uncultured bacterium. Its description in RNAcentral is "partial 16S ribosomal RNA". It matches the Rfam family "Bacterial small subunit ribosomal RNA", at positions 29 to 507 of the family's 1533-position model. The record is from RNAcentral.
AGCGAACGCUGGCGGCAGGCUUAACACAUGCAAGUCGAACGGGCUUCUUCGGAAGUCAGUGGCAGACGGGUGAGUAACACGUGGGAACGUGCCCUUCGGUUCGGAAUAACUCAGGGAAACUUGAGCUAAUACCGGAUACGCCCUUUUGGGGAAAGGUUUACUGCCGAAGGAUCGGCCCGCGUCUGAUUUGCUUGUUGGUGGGGUAACGGCCUACCAAGGCGACGAUCAGUAGCUGGUCUGAGAGGAUGAUCAGCCACACUGGGACUGAGACACGGCCCAGACUCCUACGGGAGGCAGCAGUGGGGAAUAUUGGACAAUGGGCGCAAGCCUGAUCCAGCCAUGCCGCGUGAGUGAUGAAGGCCUUAGGGUUGUAAAGCUCUUUUGUCCGGGACGAUAAUGACGGUACCGGAAGAAUAAGCCCCGGCUAACUUCGUG